RNAcentral lists this long non-coding RNA (250 nucleotides) under Populus trichocarpa (black cottonwood). RNAcentral describes it as "long non-coding RNA (PTRI_LNC003273)". Lineage: Eukaryota; Viridiplantae; Streptophyta; Magnoliopsida; Malpighiales; Salicaceae. The record is from RNAcentral.
UUCUAAACACAUGAGAAUCUUCAUUGACAUGUCGUGGUCAAGCCGAUUCAAGAAAUCUGUAUAGAUUUCCGUUUUAUCCUAUAAACAAUACAAUGCCUUGCAGUUUUUCUUGCCAUUUUGAGAAUACACCAAUCUCUUUUAUAUUGAACUUUGCAAUCGAUUCAUUCUUUGGUAACUGCAAUUCAAUUAUUUUCUCCUCAAGACUGCAUAUUCUACUUGAUGAGGAUCUUCUACAUUGUGCAUUGGUGCU